CAAUUUAUACAUGAACAAAAUAUACCUUUUCUGGUUAAUUUUGGAAAAAGUAGCAUAGAAGAUAAUAUUGGGUUUUUUAAUAGACUAUGCUUCAUUUCUUAUCACAGUUUCCUCACUGGAUACCCAGGUCUUUGGACUGACACUCCUUUCUGAAAGACUUCCAUAAGAGUAUCCACUAGUUUGCUGUGGGAGCCAAACACUGUCAGAUGACUAGUACCAUAACUUUUCCCCAGGGGACUUAAGUUAUUCUUCUGACUUAGUCUUUGUUUCUAGCUCACCAUGUAGAGCAUAUCCAGAAAAGGUUGACUUUUUUUGGGCUGACCCAAGUCAUGUACCUGACCUCACAGGGACCCUGUGGUAUGACAGCACAGUAGGCCAGUGAGAAAGCCACUGCAGGCCCUUGCAGGUUUGGAAUGUAGAAGUUGCAGACACAUAGAGAGAGCUUGCUGGGCCCUGGGAAAGGGCCAUCUGAUGCUCAGUGGGGAUCUCUGAAUCAGGAGAUGUCAGCAUGCCCAAGAAAGAUGAGCAGCUGUCCCCACACUCUUCACUCUGCUCUUGUUUAAAAGGAAAGAUUGAAUUAAGUGAAGUUCUUCCAUGCUGCCUCUAAUUUUCCUUGAAAAAGCCUGGUGAUCUUAUUUAAUGAAUGAGGACACAUUGCAGCUCUGGUCUGGAACAGGACCCAUCACUGACAGUGAUCAAGGUCACGUUCGACGGGGAUUUGAGCAACGUGGUCUAGUGACAGAUCUCUCUGCCUAUGGCAGGUGGGUUGGACUGCAUGAUCUUUUAAGGCCCUUUUCAAACCAAAGUAUUUUAUGAUCCUAUCAUUAUGCUUUGAAGCAUUUUUUUUUAAAAUUCAGCCUAGAAGUAAAUACCUAUUUUGUCCACCAUUGUUCUGGAUAUAAUAAAAUACUGAAAGCACUGA
Molecule: long non-coding RNA, 922 nt
Filed under: Cyanistes caeruleus (blue tit)
Lineage: Eukaryota; Metazoa; Chordata; Aves; Passeriformes; Paridae
Description: lncRNA (ENSCCEG00000016569.1)
Source: RNAcentral